This 253-nucleotide ribosomal RNA is filed under the name uncultured bacterium. Its description in RNAcentral is "partial 16S ribosomal RNA". It matches the Rfam family "Bacterial small subunit ribosomal RNA", at positions 524 to 776 of the family's 1533-position model. The record is from RNAcentral.
UACGGAGGGAGCUAGCGUUAUUCGGAAUUACUGGGCGUAAAGCGCACGUAGGCGGCUUUGUAAGUUAGAGGUGAAAGCCUGGAGCUCAACUCCAGAAUUGCCUUUAAGACUGCAUCGCUUGAAUCCGGGAGAGGUGAGUGGAAUUCCGAGUGUAGAGGUGAAAUUCGUAGAUAUUCGGAAGAACACCAGUGGCGAAGGCGGCUCACUGGACCGGUAUUGACGCUGAGGUGCGAAAGCGUGGGGAGCAAACAGG